CCAGCAGCCGCGGUAAUUCCAGCUCCAAUAGCGUAUAUUAAAGUUGUUGCAGUUAAAAAGCUCGUAGUUGAAGUUCUGAUCGUUCAGGUCCCCAGCCUUAGGCGGGGAUACUGACGGUCAUCCGCUUGCAAAUAUACGUUCGAUCUUCACCGGUCGGCUAUGUGAGUAAGCAUUUUACCUUGAGAAAAACAGAGUGUUCCAGGCAGGUUUGUCCGGAAUGCAUUAGCAUGGAAUAAUAGAACAUGACUGAAGUCUAUUUAUUGGUUUAAGGCUUUAGUAAUGAUUAAUAGGAACAGUCGGGGGCAUUCGUACUCAGCAGUCAGAGGUGAAAUUCUAAGAUUUGCUGAAGACGAACUAAUGCGAAAGCAUUU
RNAcentral lists this ribosomal RNA (371 nucleotides) under uncultured eukaryote. Its description in RNAcentral is "SSU rRNA". It matches the Rfam family "Eukaryotic small subunit ribosomal RNA", at positions 567 to 956 of the family's 1831-position model. The record is from RNAcentral.